GGAAAAAAAAAAUAAACUCCCAAACCCCUGUGAAAUACCUUUAUGUUGCCUCGGCGGAUCAGCCCGCGCCCCGUAAAACGGGACGGCCCGCCGCAGGAACCACAAAACUCUGAUUUUAGUGUAACUUCUGAGUCUAAAAAACAAAUAAAUCAAAACUUUCAACAACGGAUCUCUUGGUUCUGGCAUCGAUGAAGAACGCAGCAAAAUGCGAUAAGUAAUGUGAAUUGCAGAAUUCAGUGAAUCAUCGAAUCUUUGAACGCACAUUGCGCCCGCCAGUAUUCUGGCGGGCAUGCCUGUUCGAGCGUCAUUUCAACCCUCAAGCCCCCGGGUUUGGUGUUGGGGAUCGGGCUGUACUCCAGCCCGGCCCCGAAAUCUAGUGGCGGUCUCGCUGCAGCCUCCAUUGCGUAGUAGCUAACACCUCGCAACUGGAACGCGGCGCGGCCAAGCCGUUAAACCCCCAACUUCUGAAUGUUGACCUCGGAUCAGGUAGGAAUACCCGCUGAACUUAAGCAUAUCAAUAAGCAGAGGAA
This 530-nucleotide ribosomal RNA is filed under the name fungal sp. TCPR 109. RNAcentral describes it as "eukaryotic LSU rRNA". The stretch from base 154 to 307 matches the Rfam family "5.8S ribosomal RNA". Lineage: Eukaryota; Fungi. The record is from RNAcentral.